RNAcentral lists this unclassified non-coding RNA (297 nucleotides) under Paraglomus sp. Its description in RNAcentral is "partial contains 5.8S ribosomal RNA and internal transcribed spacer 2". The record is from RNAcentral. Lineage: Eukaryota; Fungi; Glomeromycota; Glomeromycetes; Paraglomerales; Paraglomeraceae.
GUGAAUCAUCAAAUUUUUGAACGCAAAUUGCGCCUUUUUCGGAAGGCAUGUCUGUGUGAGGUCACCAUUUAGCAAAUAAUGUGCAGCGUGUUUGGUUUCACACGUUGAUGAGCUUUCCAAGAAUUUUAAAUUUUUGGUGGCGCAUAAUGAACAGCGUGAAAGUUUUUUUCAGUUCGAGUGUAGUAAAAUCUUUUCUUGGGUGGUGAAAAAACAUAAUCGCGUAAUGGGUGGGUCAAUUUCGUUGUAUCCCUGCACCAAUGCCAAUCUUUCUCACGAAAGGAUGUCUAAUCUUCAGGG